RNAcentral lists this ribosomal RNA (507 nucleotides) under Salmonella enterica subsp. enterica serovar Derby. Its description in RNAcentral is "bacterial SSU rRNA". It matches the Rfam family "Bacterial small subunit ribosomal RNA", at positions 1029 to 1533 of the family's 1533-position model. The record is from RNAcentral. Lineage: Bacteria; Pseudomonadati; Pseudomonadota; Gammaproteobacteria; Enterobacterales; Enterobacteriaceae. RNAcentral also lists the same sequence under 2 other names.
GUGAGACAGGUGCUGCAUGGCUGUCGUCAGCUCGUGUUGUGAAAUGUUGGGUUAAGUCCCGCAACGAGCGCAACCCUUAUCCUUUGUUGCCAGCGAUUAGGUCGGGAACUCAAAGGAGACUGCCAGUGAUAAACUGGAGGAAGGUGGGGAUGACGUCAAGUCAUCAUGGCCCUUACGACCAGGGCUACACACGUGCUACAAUGGCGCAUACAAAGAGAAGCGACCUCGCGAGAGCAAGCGGACCUCAUAAAGUGCGUCGUAGUCCGGAUUGGAGUCUGCAACUCGACUCCAUGAAGUCGGAAUCGCUAGUAAUCGUGGAUCAGAAUGCCACGGUGAAUACGUUCCCGGGCCUUGUACACACCGCCCGUCACACCAUGGGAGUGGGUUGCAAAAGAAGUAGGUAGCUUAACCUUCGGGAGGGCGCUUACCACUUUGUGAUUCAUGACUGGGGUGAAGUCGUAACAAGGUAACCGUAGGGGAACCUGCGGUUGGAUCACCUCCUUACCU